RNA transcript from Talpa occidentalis (Iberian mole), 3844 nucleotides. It is a transcript of the gene named anthrax toxin receptor-like, with no coding region annotated. Lineage: Eukaryota; Metazoa; Chordata; Mammalia; Eulipotyphla; Talpidae. The transcript has 17 exons. The record is from RefSeq and is a predicted model, not a curated record.
UCAAAUGACCAUAACAACACUCUGGUCUCCUAGCUAUGACCCCCUCAGCCACAGUAAUGUCCUUGUCUUAGCCAACCCAAAUGCUCUGGCAGUUUGCAAAGACUCGGCUUCCUGGAGAACUUUAAUGGCCAUCAGUGAGGGCUCAGGAUAAGGGACCAAUGGAGGUUCUUCUCACAGCCCUUUCAGAGAUGCCCUGACUCCUCCCUAGGAAUGUCAGUAGGCAAGACAGUGAGCAGAGCUGCAUGAGCCACCACAGGGUCGCCAUGCCAACCUCCCUGUCCAUCACAGCACAGGGUAUUAUGACUCUAUGGGUCAGGGAGACACCCUGGCAGGCAGUGGGGUCUCCACCCAGUAUAGUCCUACUCUGCCCUUAGUGCAGGUCUACUAGUAGAGGCUAUUGUUACUUGAUUAAAGGAAAGACUUGAUUAAAGGGGUAUAGGCCCCUGUACAUUGCUUGAAAGAGUGUAGGUUCCAGCUUGCCUACUUAAAGAGGUUAGCGUCCCUUGCAGCCUCCCGGGCUGCCAAGGAAAUGGAAAGCAGCUGCUUAAGGGUGCCUGGACUUGCAUUCCUCCUCUUGCUGGUUUUGCCCCCUCUGCUGCCAAGCAGUGGGGCAUACCAGCAGAGAGCCCCGACCUGGCUAGAUUUCCACCACCUCACUCGGGCCAGGAGAAGCCUCCCCAGCAACACCAACCAGGAUGGGGAGAGCACCCGCCAGGGCCACAGCCAGGACACCGGGUCCAGGGAGAGGCUGGCAGAUCACAAGAAAUCCUGCCAGAGCAAUCUUGACCUCUAUUUAAUCUUGGACAAGUCAGGAAGUGUGGACACCAACUGGAUAUUUAUGUACGGCUUCGUAGAGGAUUUCCUCAAAAUGUUUCAAAAUCCGAACAUGCGGGUCUCGAUCGUCACCUUCUCCACAUGGGGCCACACCGUCCUAAAGCUCACCUCGGACAAAAAAGAAAUCGAAGACGGUCUCAACAAACUACGCAACACAGUGCCUACCGGAAACACAAACAUGCAGGAAGGAUUUAAAGCGGUCAAUGAGCAGAUCUCCACAGCAAACUCUAGAGAAAAGAAAGUGCACUCCAUGGUUGUCUCCCUAAUUGAUGGAGCACUUUGGCCAGAGUCCUUUCAGGCUACGAAGAAUGAAGCUCAGAGGACUCGACAACUGGGAGGGACUGUUUACGUUGUGGGUGUCAACAACUACGUGAAAAAUCAGCUCCUGGCAAUUGCAGACAGCGAGGAUCACGUGGUUGGUGUGGACAGUGGAUUCUAUGAUCUCAGGAACAUCGUUGACUCACUCGCAGCUAAGUCCUGCGUUGAGCUGACAAGUGUGGGACCGACAGAUUACUGUGUGGGAGAAAACUAUGAUGUAGGCAUCUUUGGAAGAGGUUUUCAUAACACCAAAAACAAAAAAGAAGUUCUUUGCAGAUUUCAAAUAAGUGACACCGUAUUUUUUGAUAAAAAAGCCACCCAGGUGGAAGACACCAGCAUAAAGUGUCCGGGAAUGAAGAUAGAGGUACCAGCCAACGAGAUCUCUGUUGAAGUGAGCCUGAACAACGGUGCCAGCUUCAUCAGCAACGGGCUCAAGAUCAGCAGCAAGGACUGUGGGAGUCACAGGACUGGCCAGAGGACACGCAUUGGCCCCUCAGGAUUCCCGCCGACGCACAACCCGUCUGUCAUCAGGCCCAUGAGGAAAGUCCUCAGGAGAAACGUAGGUCUGGUCCAGGCACAGCAGCCACCUGACCCUUCCAAUGCGGCAGCGGCAGGUCCCGGAAAUCAAGGCUCACAGUUCCCCAACAUCAACCCUUAUCACUUGGCUGCAUGCAUGCUGGUACUAAUACCUCUGAUGAUAGGGUGCUUGUGGCUACUCCACCGCAGAAAGAACAAGAUGGUGGUGAGUUGUGUUUUGUUCCUGAUGCCCACACAGACCUGCACAAGAAAGCUGCCUGAGCUGUAGGAUAUCUCUAUUUCCCACCCCACCAUCUCCACCUACCUGGACAGAGAGAGCUGGCAGAAAGCAGGGAACCUUGUUUACAAACGUGCCCCACAGUGGUGGUCCCUUGUGGUGGAGAUGACAACCUCAGAUACCUAGAGGUGAGAUGGACCAGUAGGAGGGAGCUGUGGGCAGGUCGGGCUCGAAGGAGAGUAACAGGUUGGGCCCAGAAGGUGUGGCUUGGAUGGAGAGGAGUGUUCAGGACACUGAGCUUUACUCACUUGGCCCCAAUACCAGGCUCUCCCCUCAAGGGGCUCACGUUUAUGGAAUCACUGCUUUCACAGCGGUUCUCAUCAGCCCCAUCAAUGACUUGGGUCUCCUGGGGAGUAGCAGUGGGUUAAAACAAAAUCACAAAUUCAUGAAGGUCAGAAAAUAAAAGCAGGAAAUCUGAGUCAAGAUCUUUCCCCCAUUGGGUGGACAUGCUGGUGCACCUGGCACCCACAGAAACCAGCUCAGCAGAGGGAGGGAGGGAGCUGCUGCCUUGUCCUCCUGUCCUCAGCAGGUAUGACAAGGGUCCCAUGGAGGAGGGGCCUGAAGGGAAUGUCCUUGCCCAGGAAGAGCUGGGCCCGCCCUGCUGACACACAUCCCACACUGGGGCCCCAGCACAAAAUAGAGUCCAGAUGGCUGGGGUGGAUGAAGAAACAAGCCACAAUUUCUGCCUGGUAUUUCCAGUCCUCCUUGUCCUGCCUCGGUCCUUUUUGGGGGCCAUGGCUUCCUCCAGGAGCUUCUAUGGCACCAGGAGAGCCAGCAAUGCCUUCUUCUCAGGGUGCAAUACAGCAGUGCCCAACACAUCUUCCGGAGAGGUGGAAGCCCUGACCAAGGGCUCGUUCCUGUUCCAGGAUAUGGCUCCCCCACUGACAACAUCAGGGCAGAGCUGGAGUGCAGGGUCCAGAGCUCCCCUAGGAUCCCCCACCAGGGAUCCAGGUCACUCUCGGUUUGUCCUGAGCCUCCUCUUCUCUCCACCCUCUGUCAGCCGGACCCUGCACACUUUCAGGCCAUGGAGCCUUCCCUGCCUUCCCUGGUGGACCUCAUGAGUGCAGGCCUCCUCCUCCCUUCCUUCUAGCUCCUUCCCAGGUACCCUGCAGGCACCUCAUGUUCCCCUCCGAGACACCGCAGAUCACCUCCAGCCUUGUACUUUAACUCUGCUCGUAGCUCCUGGCUUGUUCUGCAAAUAUACUAAUUUGUACAUCCCUAAAAAUUCCUGACUCACACCCUGACCUACAAAGCAGGCCCAUUGUCACAAGGAAGGCCACUAUCCUCCCCCAGGGAGUUUGUGGGGACAGAGCUCAGGUGCCUUUGGGAACUGGAGGGGACACUGUCCCGCUGGAGGCAGCAGCCAGCUCAGAGCUUCCUCACAGCCUCUUCUGCUUUCCAGGACAAACUGGACACUCUGCGCAUGCAGAUCAUGUGCAACAUAUUACAGAACCACAACCGGGGCCCAGUGAUAUGUUAUCAGCCCAGGCGCAAGCCAUGUUCCUUAAUCAGUUCUAGGGGUGGGAGGAUGCGCAGGUACCCACGCUGCUGCCUGCAACCCAGCCUGGCGUGCUGUCCCCUCGACUACUGCUGGAUGUGUUGCCCAUAUUCCCCGUGCCGACCUCCCCCACUCAUAAGCUCCCAGCCUCCCCCACUCAUAAGCUCCCAGCCUCCCCGACCCAUAUGCUCCCAGCCUCCCCCACUCAUAUGCUCCCAGCCUCCCCCACUCAUAUGCUCCCAGCCGCCACAAUCGGUCUGCUCCAGGCAGCCCUCCAGGAUGUCGCCAAUGAUCCCUGGCCCAGUUGGAAGAUGUGGUGGAAACCCUUUGGCACUCCUACCCCCAUAGACCAGUCAAUAAAUCCUGCAAAUCCAAGACUA